UAGGGAAUCUUCCGCAAUGGGCGAAAGCUUGACGGAGCAACGCCGCGUGAGUGAUGAAGGUCUUCGGAUCGUAAAACUCUGUUAUUAGGGAAGAACAAAUGUGUAAGUAACUAUGCACGUCUUGACGGUACCUAAUCAGAAAGCCACGGCUAACUACGUGCCAGCAGCCGCGGUAAUACGUAGGUGGCAAGCGUUAUCCGGAAUUAUUGGGCGUAAAGCGCGCGUAGGCGGUUUUUUAAGUCUGAUGUGAAAGCCCACGGCUCAACCGUGGAGGGUCAUUGGAAACUGGAAGACUGGAGUGCAGAAGAGGAAAGUGGAAUUCCAUGUGUAGCGGUGAAAUGCGCAGAGAUAUGGAGGAACACCAGUGGCGAAGGCGACUUUCUGGUCUGUAACUGACGCUGAUGUGCGAAAGCGUGGGGAUCAAACAGG
Molecule: ribosomal RNA, 429 nt
Filed under: Actinomycetes bacterium
Lineage: Bacteria; Bacillati; Actinomycetota; Actinomycetes
Description: Actinobacteria bacterium partial 16S ribosomal RNA
Rfam family: Bacterial small subunit ribosomal RNA
Source: RNAcentral